This 475-nucleotide ribosomal RNA is filed under the name uncultured organism. Its description in RNAcentral is "partial 16S ribosomal RNA". It matches the Rfam family "Bacterial small subunit ribosomal RNA", at positions 332 to 798 of the family's 1533-position model. The record is from RNAcentral.
UACACUCCUACGGGAGGCAGCAGUGGGGAAUUUUGGACAAUGGGCGAAAGCCUGAUCCAGCAAUGCCGCGUGUGUGAAGAAGGCCUUCGGGUUGUAAAGCACUUUUGUCCGGAAAGAAAUCCUUGGCUCUAAUACAGUCGGGGGAUGACGGUACCGGAAGAAUAAGCACCGGCUAACUACGUGCCAGCAGCCGCGGUAAUACGUAGGGUGCGAGCGUUAAUCGGAAUUACUGGGCGUAAAGCGUGCGCAGGCGGUUUGCUAAGACCGAUGUGAAAUCCCCGGGCUCAACCUGGGAACUGCAUUGGUGACUGGCAGGCUAGAGUAUGGCAGAGGGGGGUAGAAUUCCACGUGUAGCAGUGAAAUGCGUAGAGAUGUGGAGGAAUACCGAUGGCGAAGGCAGCCCCCUGGGCCAAUACUGACGCUCAUGCACGAAAGCGUGGGGAGCAAACAGGAUUAGAAACCCGGGUAGUCCCAU